GCGCGAGUGGUGAAAUUGGCAGACACGCAGGAUUUAGGUUCCUGUGCCUUCGGGCGUGGGGGUUCAAAUCCCCCCUUGCGCA
RNAcentral lists this transfer RNA (82 nucleotides) under Arthrobacter sp. RNAcentral's name for it is "tRNA-Leu". It matches the Rfam family "tRNA". From Rfam's summary of the family: Transfer RNA (tRNA) molecules are approximately 80 nucleotides in length. Their secondary structure includes four short double-helical elements and three loops (D, anti-codon, and T loops). Further hydrogen bonds mediate the characteristic L-shaped molecular structure. tRNAs have two regions of fundamental functional importance: the anti-codon, which is responsible for specific mRNA codon recognition, and the 3' end, to which the tRNAs corresponding amino acid is attached (by aminoacyl-tRNA synthetases). tRNAs cope with the degeneracy of the genetic code in two manners: having more than one tRNA (with a specific anti-codon) for a particular amino acid; and 'wobble' base-pairing, i.e. permitting non-standard base-pairing at the 3rd anti-codon position. RNAcentral also lists the same sequence under 29 other names. Lineage: Bacteria; Bacillati; Actinomycetota; Actinomycetes; Micrococcales; Micrococcaceae. The record is from RNAcentral.